GACGAACGCUGGCGGCGUGCUUAACACAUGCAAGUCGAACGGAAAGGCCCCUUUGGGGGUACUCGAGUGGCGAACGGGUGAGUAACACGUGAGUAACCUGCCCUUGACUUCGGGAUAACUUCAGGAAACUGGGGCUAAUACCGGAUAGGAAUCCUUGCUGCAUGGCGGGGGUUGGAAAGCUUCGGCGGUUUUGGAUGGACUCGCGGCUUAUCAGCUUGUUGGUGGGGUAGUGGCUUACCAAGGCUUUGACGGGUAGCCGGCCUGAGAGGGCGACCGGCCACAUUGGGACUGAGAUACGGCCCAGACUCCUACGGGAGGCAGCAGUGGGGAAUAUUGCACAAUGGGCGGAAGCCUGAUGCAGCAACGCCGCGUGCGGGAUGACGGCCUUCGGGUUGUAAACCGCUUUCAGCAGGGGCGAAGCUUGUGGUGACGGUACCUGCAGAAGAAGCACCGGCUAACUACGUG
Molecule: ribosomal RNA, 465 nt
Filed under: uncultured bacterium
Lineage: Bacteria
Description: partial 16S ribosomal RNA
Rfam family: Bacterial small subunit ribosomal RNA
Source: RNAcentral